AAUGGACGGAAGUCUGAACCAGCCAUGCCGCGUGAAGGAUGACUGCCUAUGGGUUGUAAACUUCUUUUAUAUAGGAAGAACCUCUCUACGUGUAGAGAGCUGACGGUACUAUACGAAUAAGGACGGGCUAACUCCGUGCCAGCAGCCGCGGUAAUACGGAGGGUCCAAGCGUUAUCCGGAUUUAUUGGGUUUAAAGGGUCCGUAGGCGGGGUUUUAAGUCAGUGGUGAAAGCCUACAGCUCAACUGUAGAACUGCCAUUGAAACUGGAACUCUUGAAUGUGAUUGAGGUAGGCGGAAUAUGUCAUGUAGCGGUGAAACGCUUAGAUAUGACAUAGAACACCGAUAGCGAAGGCAGCUUACCAAGUCAUUAUUGACGCUGAUGGACGAAAGCGUGGGGAGCGAACAGGAUU
RNAcentral lists this ribosomal RNA (410 nucleotides) under uncultured Flavobacteriia bacterium. RNAcentral's name for it is "bacterial SSU rRNA". It matches the Rfam family "Bacterial small subunit ribosomal RNA", at positions 370 to 779 of the family's 1533-position model. Lineage: Bacteria; Pseudomonadati; Bacteroidota; Flavobacteriia. The record is from RNAcentral.